UACGGAGGGGACUAGCGUUGCUCGGAAUUACUGGGCGUAAAGAGUGCGUAGGCGGUCUAAAUAGUUGGAAGUGAAAUCCCUGGGCUCAACCCAGGAACUGCUUUCAAAACUUUUAGACUAGAGAUUGAUAGGGGAUGAUGGAAUUCCUAGUGUAGAGGUGAAAUUCUUAGAUAUUAGGAGGAACACCAGUGGCGAAGGCGGUCAUCUGGGUCACAUCUGACGCUGAUGCACGAAAGCGUGGGGAGCAAACAGG
This 253-nucleotide ribosomal RNA is filed under the name uncultured bacterium. RNAcentral's name for it is "partial 16S ribosomal RNA". It matches the Rfam family "Bacterial small subunit ribosomal RNA", at positions 524 to 776 of the family's 1533-position model. The record is from RNAcentral.